AGAGUUUGAUCCUGGCUCAGAUUGAACGCUGGCGGCAUGCCUUACACAUGUAAGUCGAACGGCAGCGCGGGAGCAAUCCUGGCGGCGAGUGGCGAACGGGUGAGUAAUACAUCGGUACGUGCCCAAUCGUGGGGGAUAACGCAGCGAAAGCUGUGCUAAUACCGCAUACGAUCUACGGAUGAAAGCAGGGGAUCGCAAGACCUUGCGCGAAUGGAGCGGCCGAUGGCAGAUUAGGUAGUUGGUGAGGUAAAGGCUCACCAAGCCUUCGAUCUGUAGCUGGUCUGAGAGGACGACCAGCCACACUGUGAGUGAGACACGUCCCAGACUCCUACGGGAGGCAGCAGUGGGGAAUUUUGGACAAUGGGCGAAAGCCUGAUCCAGCCAUGCCGCGUGCAGGAUGAAGGCCUUCGGGUUGUAAACUGCUUUUGUACGGAACGAAACGGUCUUUUCUAAUACAGAGGGCUAAUGACGGUACCGUAAGAAUAAGCUCCGGCUAACUACGUGCCAGCAGCCGCGGUAAUACGUAGGGUGCAAGCGUUAAUCGGAAUUACUGGGCGUAAAGCGUGCGCAGGCGGUUAUGUAAGACAGUUGUGAAAUCCCCGGGCUCAACCUGGGAACUGCAUCUGUGACUGCAUAGCUAGAGUACGGUAGAGGGGGAUGGAAUUCCGCGUGUAGCAGUAAAUGCGUAGAUAUGCGGAGGAACACCGAUGGCGAAGGCAAUCCCCGGACCUGUACUGACGCUCAUGCACGAAGGCGUGGGGAGCAAACAGGAUUAUAUACCCUGGUAGUCCACGCCCUAAACGAUGUCAACUGGUUGUUGGGUCUUCACUGACUCAGUAACGAAGCUAACGCGUGAAGUUGACCGCCUGGGGAG
RNAcentral lists this ribosomal RNA (874 nucleotides) under Variovorax sp. JPPB A8. RNAcentral's name for it is "bacterial SSU rRNA". It matches the Rfam family "Bacterial small subunit ribosomal RNA", at positions 8 to 880 of the family's 1533-position model. The record is from RNAcentral. Lineage: Bacteria; Pseudomonadati; Pseudomonadota; Betaproteobacteria; Burkholderiales; Comamonadaceae.